Long non-coding RNA from Daucus carota subsp. sativus, 366 nucleotides. RefSeq lists it as uncharacterized. The transcript has 2 exons. Lineage: Eukaryota; Viridiplantae; Streptophyta; Magnoliopsida; Apiales; Apiaceae. The record is from RefSeq and is a predicted model, not a curated record.
AUUCACACAAUCAUUCAGAUUCAAAUGGUAUAGAGCAGUCAAGCGUCCAAUUGAGUGGGGCAAUGCCUUCAAGUAUUUGCAUCCUUCCAAAUUCAAGUGACGCAAGGAUGGCAACUGUCCAUCAGAAAUAAGGGCUAGUUUGGUACUCUGGAAGCUACGAGACUUAUGGAUUUUUUUUUCUUAUUCAUUUAAACUUUAUUGUCUAAGCGUCCGGAGUUAUGCUUGCAUGACUUUCGGUUAGAUAAUAAAUUUUCUUGAAAGAAAGAAAUCCCUGAUGCGGUUUAUUGUAUUUCGAUACAAUUAAUCUACGUGUAUGUAGAUCUUAAAAAAAAAAAAACUAACUCAGAGUAGUCAAUUGUGUAAUGA